Molecule: unclassified non-coding RNA, 286 nt
Filed under: Hevea brasiliensis (rubber tree)
Lineage: Eukaryota; Viridiplantae; Streptophyta; Magnoliopsida; Malpighiales; Euphorbiaceae
Source: RNAcentral
AGCAGCAGCAGCAGCAACAUCAACAAGGACUUGCAGAGGUCAGAAAAUGUGAAUUGCCUUACAAAAAAGAAGAAGAACAUAGGAAAAGCUGGAGAAGGGAAAGGGAGAGGUGGGUAGAGAAAGGGUCCUUCAAUAGAAUCGAAGGACCCAAAGGGAGACAGGAUUCAGCCAAAGAAGAAAAAAUUUGUUGAAAGAAGCCAUAAUUUUUUGGGAGGGCAGAGAAAAUGAGAGAUUUUUCCUUAGACCUCUCGGAGAAAAAGAAGGAGAAUUGGUUGGACGCUUUGAG